UGAUUCCUUGGGAACAAUGAACUAAUGAACUGGUUUUUAAAAUGCUAAGGAAAUCUCACGCUGGAUAUCGCAGAUCAGUCCACAUCCUUCACAGACAACCUUGCGGCCCACUGCACUCUGACCCUGGAUUAGCCAUAGGGACUGUGGCUGAAGUGGUCCAUAUCGUAACAGCAACAGCAACGCAAGCAUGGAGUCACGACGCACUGAGCCACAGCAUCUGUUACUUGGAAAAGUAAGCUAAUGUCAACACACCCAGAUCAUCGCCACCUGUUUUAGUCCACUUUGUGCUGCUGUAACAGGGAUACCCCAGAAGACACAUUUGUGUUCUUACAGGUCUGAAGACCAAGACCAAGGAACUGAGCAGUUGAGUCAAUGCUGAGCGAAGCUCCCUGCUUAAGACCUCAGGUUUUUGCUGCCACCCCCAAAAGGGCAGAAUGCUGCAUCCUCACAGGACGGAAGGUGGGAGGGCAAGAGGUCUGCAAGCU
RNAcentral lists this long non-coding RNA (485 nucleotides) under Fukomys damarensis (Damara mole-rat). RNAcentral describes it as "lncRNA (ENSFDAG00000021849.1)". Lineage: Eukaryota; Metazoa; Chordata; Mammalia; Rodentia; Bathyergidae. The record is from RNAcentral.